AUGCCUAUUGCAGCUUCCUUCUCUCUCCUGCGCAGUUCAUCAUCAAGCUGCCCCUACACAAAACUUCCUUUGCUCUUCCCUCAGAAUCCCUCAGCCCGCCAAUCAUUAGAAGAGCCAACGUCAAACUACAUUUCCCAGAAUCCCAUGCAUCCACGUCUUCCAGUCUUUUCUUACCUGCAAGGAAGUUGGUCUGAAUACCUAAUUACCUUCUUGUACACCACAGUGCCACCACAAGUGAGGAAAAACAAGAAGAAUAGGCAGAUGAGAACAAUUUGUUCCAACAGCCAUGAAACAAGCAAUGUGAAGGACUUCUCGUUUCCUCAAGAGAAGGGACAAGGAGAAAGAGAUAUUUACUUUGAAGAUAUAGGAAGCAAGGACAAAGGUACAAACAUCUCCCUUCAAU
RNAcentral lists this long non-coding RNA (403 nucleotides) under Monodelphis domestica (gray short-tailed opossum). Its description in RNAcentral is "lncRNA (ENSMODG00000036748.1)". The record is from RNAcentral. Lineage: Eukaryota; Metazoa; Chordata; Mammalia; Didelphimorphia; Didelphidae.